UCUCGGAAGAUUGCUCCGCCCAACGGCUGGGAUCCCGCCUCCUCCUACGCUUCCUCCUCCUCGCGCUCGUGGGGUGCACGCUCCCCACCUUCUCGCUAUUGAUUUUCUCCCCGAUGCUUCAGCUAUUGGCUGCAGAGAUUUGGAUGGAGAAAAGGCAACUGAAACACAGGAGCCCAUUACAGCCGCAGGUUUGUUUCCGAACCGCUUUAUUGCCAUCUAGCGGUGGUUCCACGUGCACCCAGCGUCGAGACUUCUGGCCUCCAGGUCUCAAGAUACUGAGGAACGGAGGGGACUCCCCUUGAUCCGGCUUGCAAAG
Long non-coding RNA from Crotalus tigris (Tiger rattlesnake), 316 nucleotides. RefSeq lists it as uncharacterized. The record is from RefSeq and is a predicted model, not a curated record. The transcript is spliced from 3 exons. NCBI's taxonomy places the organism in Eukaryota, Metazoa, Chordata, Lepidosauria, Squamata, Viperidae.